RNAcentral lists this ribosomal RNA (468 nucleotides) under uncultured bacterium. Its description in RNAcentral is "partial 16S ribosomal RNA". It matches the Rfam family "Bacterial small subunit ribosomal RNA", at positions 28 to 507 of the family's 1533-position model. The record is from RNAcentral.
GACGAACGCUGGCGGCGUGCUUAACACAUGCAAGUCGAACGGAAAGGCCCUGCUUUUGUGGGGUGCUCGAGUGGCGAACGGGUGAGUAACACGUGAGUAACCUGCCCUUUACUUUGGGAUAACUUCAGGAAACUGGGGCUAAUACCGGAUAGGUGCUCCUGCUGCAUGGUGGGGGUUGGAAAGUUUCGGCGGUUGGGGAUGGACUCGCGGCUUAUCAGCUGGUUGGUGGGGUAGUGGCUUACCAAGGCUUUGACGGGUAGCCGGCCUGAGAGGGUGACCGGCGACAUUGGGACUGAGAGACGGACCAGAGUCGUACGGGAGGCAGCAGUGGGGAAUAUUGCACAAUGGGCGGAAGCCUGAUGCAGCAACGCCGGGUGCGGGAUGACGGCCUUCGGGUGGUAAACCGCUUUCGGCUGUGACGAAGCGUGAGUGACGGUAAUGGGUAAAGAAGCACCGGCUAACUACGUG